UGGUGCUGUUCGUGGAAGGUUCCGGCAAGUCCGAGGUGAAGCAGACAUUCUAACUCUUCCAUCCUUCAUAUCUCGACCUUGGGCAUCAUCCUAACAUGUCGAUUCUUUGUUUUUCUAAGCCGGAGUACGCAUCUGGUCGGAGCUCCGCCCAACUCCGGCGACGCAUCACGGUCACCAGAGGACGGUUCCGAGCGCGUUUUGGUGUUCAGCAAGUUUUCCUCGACUUCCUCUACUCCGUCCACCUCUCUUUCGUUGCCGAAGACAUCCGCAUCAUCGAGCGAGAGCACGCCAAGUUUGUUGUCCAUCGCCGGCCAACUCCUCCGGUGAGGCCAGCCCUCUUUCUGUAAAAAAAAACCGAAAUAGUAUUAGCCUAUUGAAUUCUGCCACGUUGCGACUCUUUUUCUUACCUCGCUUCUUUUCCAGAAAUUUAGCCCAACUUAGAAAAAUCACAUCUUUUAAACCGCUUAUCCAAAUUUGACAAAUAAGAUAUCCCUGGAUAGCUGAGGACCUCUAGUUUAUUAUAAAAAAAUUGAAAUAUCACUUUUACGCUAAUUAAAAUUUCGUUUUGAUUUAAAUGAUAAUUUGAGUAUUUUUACUGAAUCUUUUAUUCUGUGAGUGAUAUGAAAAAGUUUUACAUAUGAAAAUUGGUUCUUGGAAUCAUACCAAUCUGCUAGAACUCAUAGAAUAUUUUUUUAGUAAGGUUUAGUUACUGUUUUAGCACAAUACAUAAUUUUGACCUUCAUUGAUUAUCGUUUAAUAAACUCGUUAAACUAAAAAAAAUCAUUGUUAAAACCAUUAGAUUUAUCCGUAGAAAACCUUUCUGGUUAGUUGUUGUCGUCAUAAAAAUUUAGAGUUAUAGGAUUAUUAAUUAGUUUAUUAACAUGAACUAUAAACCAUACAUAGGAACCGAUCAAAGUGCAUAAACUCGAAUCAUAUGGAUAUACUGGCUAGGGUUGUUUGGCAUGAAUUGUGUGUUGGAUGGUUUUUCUUGCUCACUUGUUAUGUUAAUGUUUGAUAUGUGGAGUGACUUACUUAAGUACUUUGUUGCGUUAGAUUGCGACGAGUGCGAAGGCGAAUUCUACGAGGAGGUAGAACCGGGUUGCUGCGAGUCAGAAGGCAAGUUGCAACCUUGACCAUAUUUAUCCCGUGUUUAAUUUUGCAUUGACUUUCAAAGCAAGUAGUAUGCAUGUGUAGGGUUUUAUAUCGUUGUUUUUGCAAAUAUUUGCUAGUAGUAAAGCCCUAGGAUCCAAUGCUAUUGGACUAUACACUUAGCCAUGCUUGUAGUUGGGGGUGGACCAAAUAUUUUGAAAAUUAUAAACUUGUUCCCUUGGAACAAUGAUUUAGAAAAUAUUUUGAAAAAGCAAAAACUAUAUUAUUAUUUUUUUACUUCUACUCCCUGGACAGAAUGGUAUGACGGGAGCGUCUACAAGUGAUUGCGUCCAUCGGGGUCUUGCAGUGAAUGCGCUCGACUGGGGUCUUGCACACAGGAUUUUGGUGGGGACCGCCGUCCAGGGGAAUGAGAUCUUCCAAGUACGGUUUGAUGUAGCUUCCAGUACAGCCACAUGCUACUAUGGGCUCUGCCUUGGCUUAGUACUAACGGGAAACCCUUACCUCAGGACCGCCAUCGGAGAGGGGCUUUCAUUGCCUAAGUUGCGGGCGGCUUGGUCAGGUAUAGGGGGCUGUUACGGAAAGGCUUCGUCACAAUCUCCUCCUAGUCGUACACCCAAGUGUGUAGCGGUGAACGGGGUUGGUUGUGUCAUGUGGGGAACGUGUACGACCUCUGCAGAGGGUUUAACCUAAUCGAUUAGCCGUGCCCCCGGUUACGGAGCAAUUUUGAGCAACUGAAGACUUGGACUGAAGAAGAAUCUCCCCUCUCUUUUCUCAAAGCUAUUUUAUAAAGGGUUAGGUGGAAGUUAAACACAGUGGGGUGUUUUACUUCAACCUGAAGGAGAAAAUUAUUUUUUUUUGUGAAUCUUGGUGCGGAUAUCCAAGUAUUCACUUAAACUCUAUGUUUUAAAAAAAUGUUUAUCAAAACUCAUUUUAUUUAUUUUGUUUAUAUUCUAGGGAAAAAAUGGCUUUUCGCAAAUAAACCCUAGACACCAACCCAGCAAGAAUAUUUGUUAUCACUCUUGUUGCAACUUGCGAGUACAUUCAAAGUACUUACCUGUACGUGUCAUGUGCAGAUGAUGAGUGACGAGUUAGGGCUACGGAGCUACACUUAACUAGCCUUGUGGCGAUUGAUGGGCUCGGGAUUAUUAUUAUGUUAUUUGCUUCCGCUAUGUAACUCAGCCUUCAGCUGAGAGAGUUGUAAUAAAUUGAACUUUGGAACUUCGAUGUAAUAAAAGGACGUGUGUGCUCGAUAUUCAUAUUUGUACUGGGUGUGCUAGCUUUUGAUCCAGGGAUAGCAUAGAAAGCUCAGAACAUUUGGACCCCAUGGGUUCAGAUCGUUACAAAAUGGUAUCAGAGCCUUACGUUGACUGUAGGACGUGGUCCUAAAAAUGGAGUAGAAUAGGAGACCUAGGAAAAGAUUAUUUAUUAGUUAUUUACUAGGAAUACUCGUAUUCUAUUCUAUUCUUUGCUGAACCUCUCCUAAUUUCAAACUUGUAGAUGGAGCACCAAGUUUUGCGUGAAGCUAAGGACUUUCAGGGUAUCCUUUUUGGCUCCUUGUUCUUGGCACUGCUUGAGGUGCUGAAGUUGCCGAUACCUGAAGUCAAAGUGUGGUGCAAGGAGGGAGGAAGCUACUGGAACCUUUGCGUCCAUGUUCCGGGACGCAAGAAGCCAAAAACUAAGGACAUCUCCAUCUUGGACAUUGCCACGACGAAGAAACAAGCAAUCAACAAAGCCAUGCAUGAGGUGGUGACUAGACUUACCUACCUAUAUCAAGAAGAGUUGCAUCGGCUAGGAGUCCAGACCUUUGGAAAGCGAACCGCCACCGAUGAGUUCCCGUGAAGAUGCUCAAUAGGACAAACGUGGACUUGCAAACCGCACACAUAUUCAGCCUGGAGCGUUACAUCCACAAUUUGGAGGGAAGCUUGGUGGAUUCUCUUCAGAAGGUCAAGCAACAACAUGCGGAAAUUGACACGCACGACGACAUGGAGUACAAGUUCGAGACUCAAGAGUUUGAGAUGGAACAAGUACGUGAAGAUGCAGAUGAGCAACGAGCAAGGGUUAAAACCCUGGAGAAGGAGAACCUAGAGUUGCGGGAAGAGCUGCGAAAGAUGAAGGCCCGAGAAGUGGUGACGGAUGAUAGGAUUUAUAAGCUCCGCAAAGAGAGGGAGUACUGGAAAACCCAGUAUGAGGAAGCCCUUGAUAGAGGAGCGGAACUUCAGGAAGUGGGAGAAAAUGGUCCCUUCAUCAGCAAUGAUAAUGAAUGGGACGGUACUAUGACCAUGGCAGCUGAAUCACGCAUCGGUCUGAGUUAGAAUUGACCACCAUGUUGAAUAAACGUGUUUCGGUAGAGUACUUGACCGUACCAGAGGUUGUGGGCGGCAGUACCUAGGCUCGUUUGAAUAAGUGGACUAUGUGUGACUGCCAUGAAUUGCUUGAGAUCUGUUGUGUUGCAUUUUUUUGUGUAUACAUGGGGGUAGCUAUAUACUUAGGAUUUCUAUCUUCCAUUCCUCUACCUUAUCUUGGAACCUCGUCAAACAGAUGCCACCGAGACGUGCACCAUCCGGAGGCAACAACAACAACAUACCGCCUAGCAUGGAGCAGUUACUGCAGGCGCAGACACAACUUAUCCAGCUUCUGACUCAGAACAUGCAGAACAACAACAACGCUGGGGGACCGCCACCACCACCUCCACCACCUCCCGUAGACAGACUUACCCGGUUCUUGAGGCUGCGACCUCCAACAUUCUCCAGUUCCUCUGAGCCCAUGGUUGCAGAUGAUUGGCUCCGGUCCAUUGCCAGGAAGCUUGAUACUGCUCAAUGCACUGAGGUUGAGAAGGUGCGCUUUGCCACACAUCAGCUGGAAGGUCCCGCAGCUGCUUGGUGGGACAACUACCUGAUUACCUACCCCAAUGUUGAUGCCAUUACUGCAAUUCAGGACUGCCUUCCGCAAUGUCCAUGUUCCAGCCGGAGCAGUGGCUCUAAACAAGAAGGAAUUUCGUGCACUUCGCCAACGUUCCCUUUCUGUGAAUGAGUAUUGGGAGGAGUUCAACCAGCUUGCACGCUAUGCACCUGAUGAUGUGGCGACAGAUGCAGCUAGACAAGAGAAGUUUCUGGAAGGGCUGAAUGAUGAGUUAUCUUUUCAGUUGAUGGCUCUCACCUUCAACAGUUGUCAGGCUCUUUUUGACAAGGCUCUUAUCCUGGAGGGAAAACAGAGGGAGAUAGAAAGCCGCAAGAGGAAGAGCAACUUUCAUAAGCACAACUCCAACUCAUCUCAGAAGCUUCGCACCUCAUCCCCACCAAGGCACUAUGGUUCUUAUUCCAAGCCUAGCGGUAAUUCCUAUCAAGGCAAUCGUUCACAUAACCAUAGUGGCUCUAACCAUAGUCAUCAGCAUCAUCACAAGGAAAAUCAUCAUGAUGGUCACAAGCAUCAUAGUGGCAAUGGAGGUCAUAGCCAUGACAGGCACAAAAAGGACUUAAGUCAAGUUACCUGUUACAAGUGCCAGAAACCUGGACAUUAUGCCAAUGACUGCACAGAGAAGAAAGCAAGCAGUAAUGGAAAUGGCUCAAAGCCUAAUCCUUUCGUGAAGGCCAAGGUGAAUCACAUCUCUGUAGAGGAAGCUCAGGAUUCACCCGAUGCAGUGAUCGGUACGUUUCGAGUUAAUUCCAUUCCCGCACUUGUGUUAUUUGAUACUGGUGCAUCACAUUCGUUCAUCUCAAAAGCAUUUGUGGAUAAGCAUGGGUUAGCCACCAGGACUCUUAGUAACCCCUUAGUAGUGUCUUCACCGGGGGCAGAAAUGAGAAGUAGCAAGGGAUGCUUUGACCUAUCCUUGACCUUGGGAAGUUCCACACUCCCCGCAAAUCUUAUUGUCUUGGAACUCGGAAGGGUUGGACGUGAUCUUAGGCAUGGACUGGUUAGUCACAUAUAAAGGAAGUAUCAACUGUGCCGAGAGGUCUAUUUCUCUCAGCAACUUGGAAGGGAAACGAUUCAAAAUCAUCUGCAAGAGCAAGCCAAAGGCAUCCAUGCUCAACUCUCUUAAAGUGGCCAGCCUAGAAAAAGUCCCAGUUGUACGGGAGUACCCAGACAUAUUUCCCGAGGAUCUACCUAGAAUGCCACCUGAUAGAGACAUUGAGUUUGUAAUUGACUUGAUUCCUGGUACAGCACCUAUGUCUAAGAGACCAUAUAGGUUGCCCGCACAUGAGCUUGCAGAACUUAAGAAGCAGAUUCGUGAGUUGCAAGAAAAGGGGUUUAUUCGUCCAAGUUCUUCACCAUGGGGGGCUCCAAUCCUAUUUGUGAAGAAGAAGGAUGGUAGCUUCAGAAUGUGUGUGGACUAUCGUUCCCUUAAUGAGGUCACCAUCAAGAAUAAGUACCCGCUACCCAUGAUCAAUGAUCUAUUUGAUCAGCUUCAAGGGGCAAAGAUCUUCUCAAAGAUCGAUUUAUGAUCUGGUUACCACCAGUUGAAAAUCAGAGAGCAGGAUAUACCCAAGACAGCUUUUCGCACAAGAUAUGGACUGUAUGAGUUCACGGUUAUGUCAUUUGGUCUGACCAAUGCCCCAGCAUACUUCAUGCAUAUGAUGAAUAAGGUAUUCAUGGAAUUCCUUGACAAGUUUGUCGUUGUAUUCAUCGAUGAUAUUCUUGUAUUUUCCAAGAACGAGAAGGAGCACGAGGAACAUCUUCGCCAAGUGUUGGAAAAGCUAAGAGAGCAUAAGUUGUAUGCCAAGUUUAGUAAAUGUGAGUUUUGGCUGAAGGAAGUGGGAUUCCUAGGACACGUUGUCUCUGGAGAUGGAGUAGCAGUUGAUCCCGCUAAAGUUGAGGCCGUCACCAGUUGGAAGUCACCUACUUCAGUUGCUGAGAUUCGUAGUUUCCUUGGACUUGCUGGAUAUUACCGUAGAUUCAUUGAGAAUUUCUCCAAGAUUGCUAGGCCUAUGACUGAGUUGCUUAAGAAGGAGAAGAAGUUCCAGUGGACCGAGGCAUGUGAAGCCAGCUUUCAAGAGCUUAAAGAGAAGUUAGUCACAGCCCUAGUGCUGAUUUUACCAGAUAUUCAUAAGGACUUUCAGGUCUAUUGUGAUGCUUCACGGCAAGGACUUGGAGGUGUACUUAUGCAGGAUGGCAAGGUAGUAGCUUAUGCAUCACGUCAUCUUAGGCCGCAUGAGCUUAACUAUCCUACUCAUGACCUAGAGUUAGCUGCAGUGGUACAUGCCCUCAAGACUUGGAGACACUAUCUUAUAGGGAAUCAUUGUGACAUUUUCACGGAUCACAAGAGUUUGAAAUAUAUCUUCACUCAGAAGGAGCUUAAUCUGAGGCAAAGGAGAUGGUUAGAACUUAUUCAUGAUUAUGACUUGAGUAUAAAUUAUCAUCCAGGCAAGGCAAAUGUUGUCGCAGACGCAUUGAGUCGUAAGGGGCAUCUCAACUACCUCACCGCUCAUGUUGUCUCACCCCACUUGCUUGAAGAAUUUAGUCAGUUAAACAUGGAAGUUGUGCCUAAAGGGUUCUUAGCCACCUUGGAGGUCAAAUCCACAUUGUUGGAGAGAAUCAAGGAAGCACAGAAGGAUGAUAAGGAAUUAGAUAAGAUUCGUGACUGAAUCCAUCAAGGAAAAUCCGAGGACUUCACAGAGGAUGAACAUGGAACACUUUGGUUUGAGUCACGUAUUUGCGUACCUAGCAAUGAGGACAUUAAGAGGAUGAUUCUGCAGGAGGCACAUGAUUCUCCAUACUCUAUUCACCUAGGCAGCACUAAGAUGUAUCUUGAUUUGAAAGAGCAAUUUUGGUGGCCAAAUAUGAAGCGAGAGAUAGCAGAAUAUAUUGCCAUCUGUGAUGUAUGUCAGCGAGUCAAGGCUGAACAUCAGAAGCCAGCAGGGUUACUUCCACCAUUACCGAUACCCGAUUGGAAGUGGGACAAAAUCGGUAUGGACUUUAUCAUCGGUUUGCCACGGACUCGAUCUAGAUAUGACUCCAUUUGGGUAAUUGUGGACCGCUUGACAAAGGUUGCUCACUUCAUUCCCGUGAAGACGACCUAUACCAGUGCUAAGUUGGCCAAGAUUUACAUGACACAGGUUGUAUGCUUACAUGGUGUACCCCGAAAGAUUGUGUCAGACCGAGGCACUCAAUUUACCUCAAAAUUCUGGCACCAGCUCCAUGAGUCACUUGGAACCAGGCUUGAGUUCAGCACGACAUUUCAUCCGCAGACGAACGGACAAACCGAGAGGGUUAAUCAGAUUUUGGAGGACAUGUUACGUGCAUGUGCACUUGACUAUGGUUCUAGUUGGGAUGACAAUUUGCCAUAUGCUGAGUUCUCCUAUAAUAACAGCUAUCAAGCCAGUCUGAAGAUGGCACCGUUCGAGGCGCUCUAUGGCAGGAAGUGUAGAACCCCUUUGAUGUGGAGCGAAGUGGGUGAACAUCAACUCUUUGGACCAGACUUAAUUCGAGAUGCCGAAGAGAAGGUCAAGUUGAUCAAGGACCGACUGAAGAUCGCCCAGUCUCGUCAAAAGAGUUAUGCGGAUACCAAGCGCAAGGAUGUGGAUUAUGCACCUGGAGAUAGAGCAUACCUUCGAGUAUCACCACUUCGUGGAGUUAAGAGGUUUGGAAUCAAAGGAAAGUUAGCACCACGUUUUGUGGGACCCUACAAGAUUUUGGAACGUAGAGGAGAAGUAGCUUAUCAGCUAGAACUACCAGAAGCUCUAUCAGGAGUUCAGGAUGUAUUUCACGUCUCACAGUUGAAGAAGUGUCAUGCAGAAUUGGCAGAUAUUCCUUUGAGUGACACGGUUCCUUUGGAGGCAAUUCAGUUGGAGAAGGACCUCACAUAUGAAGAGAAGCCUAUCAAAAUUCUUGAUACAGCAGAGCGAGUCACCCGCACCAAGACGAUCAAGUUAUGCAAAGUUCAGUGGAGUCAUCACACCGAGGAAGAAGCCACUUGGGAACGAGAAGAAGAUUUGCGAGCGGAUCAUCCACAUCUUUUCUCUGGCUAGCUGAAUCUCGGGGUCGAGAUUCCUUUUAAGGGGGGUAGGUUUGUAACAUUCCAAAUUUUUAAUUUGGAAUGUUAUAUGGAGCAUGAGCAUUUUGUGUUAUUUGAAAGUGUUUAUAAUUGCUUUUCAUUAUUAAAGUGUUAGAAUGACAACCUAUACAAAAUUGCAAUUUGCAUAUUACUGUUUAACCAAAUAGUAGGAAUAUUAUCCCUAUAUUGCAUUUUGAGUAAUUUAAUUAUGUCAAUGCAUCUAAAUAAGUAGGUGCACACAAACUAAGUUAAGUGCGUAGUUUUUUUUUCUAGACCCCAACUAAUAAGUUUGUUGUGUGAAAUUGUUAUUUUAUGUUUCCCUUAACUUUCCUACACUUAGUGCAUUAUUAUAGUAAUCCUAAUCUAAUUAGCUCACGGGGCUUAAGCCACUCUUAUUUCCUAAGCUAGCUACGCAUACGAGCACAGCGCUACGAGUUGGACCUACAAUGCACGCAGCACCGGCCCAGGUCCUUUUCUCUUUUGUGUUUUUUUUUCAAUCUCUUCAUGACCCCGGUCGUCCUCAACCUCUCGUCAGACUCAGGCAACGAGCCAGCGCCCGCACCCCACUCGCGCCCGACCCCUCCCCUCCUCUACCUCGCCCCAAAUCCGCUCUGAACGGACCCCCCACUCUGCCCUAACUCCUACUCUUCCGUUACCCGCACUAAACCGCGCCCUAAUGGCCAUUAGAACACCGGAAACAGCCGCCAUGAAGACGACAUAAUUCCGACGACGCCCUGCAACGUUCCGACCUCCCCUGCAUCCUAUAAAAGGCCUCCUCCCCUCACAACUCUCUCCUUGCCCGAACCCCUCUCCUUCGGGAGCUUAUACCCCUACCCAUCGUCGUGAAUUGCUCACCGGAGUUGCGUGACGCUGGUGCUGUUCGUGGAAGGUUCCGGCAAGUCCGAGGUGAAGCAGACAUUCUAACUCUUCCAUCCUUCAUAUCUCGACCUUGGGCAUCAUCCUAACAUGUCGAUUCUUUGUUUUUCUAAGCCGGAGUACGCAUCUGGUCGGAGCUCCGCCCAACUCCGGCGACGCAUCACGGUCACCAGAGGACGGUUCCGAGCGCGUUUUGGUGUUCAGCAAGUUUUCCUCGACUUCCUCUACUCCGUCCACCUCUCUUUCGUUGCCGAAGACAUCCGCAUCAUCGAGCGAGAGCACCCCAAGUUUGUUGUCCAUCGCCGGCCAACUCCUCCGGUGAGGCCAGCCCUCUUUCUGUAAAAAAAAAACCGAAAUAGUAUUAGCCUAUUGAAUUCUGCCACGUUGCGACUCUUUUUCUUACCUCGCUUCUUUUCCAGAAAUUUAGCCCAACUUAGAAAAAUCACAUCUUUUAAACCACUUAUCCAAAUUUGACAAAUAAGAUAUCCCUGGACAGCUGAGGACCUCUAGUUUAUUAUAAAAAAAAUUGAAAUAUCACUUUUACGCUAAUUAAAAUUUCGUUUUGAUUUAAAUGAUAAUUUGAGUAUUUUUACUGAAUCUUUUAUUCUGUGAGUGAUAUGAAAAAGUUUUACAUAUGAAAAUUGGUUCUUGGAAUCAUACCAAUCUGCUAGAACUCAUAGAAUAUUUUUUUAGUAAGGUUUAGUUACUGUUUUAGCACAAUACAUAAUUUUGACCUCCAUUGAUUAUCGUUUAAUAAACUCGUUAAACUAAAAAAAAUCAUUGUUAAAACCAUUAGAUUUAUCCGUAGAAAACCUUUCUGGUUAGUUGUUGUCGUCAUAAAAAUUUAGAGUUAUAGGAUUAUUAAUUAGUUUAUUAACAUGAACUAUAAACCAUACAUAGGAACCGAUCAAAGUGCAUAAACUCGAAUCAUAUGGAUAUACUGGCUAGGGUUGUUUGGCAUGAAUUGUGUGUUGGAUGGUUUUUCUUGCUCACUUGUUAUGUUAAUGUUUGAUAUUGGAGUGACUUACUUAAGUACUUUGUUGUGUUAGAUUGCGACGAGUGUGAAGGCGAAUUCUACGAGGAGGUAGAACCGGGUUGCUGCGAGUCAGAAGGCAAGUUGCAACCUUGACCAUAUUUAUCCCGUGUUUAAUUUUGCAUUGACUUUCAAAGCAAGUAGUAUGCAUGUGUAGGGUUUUAUAUCGAUGUUUUUGCAAAUAUUUGCUAGUAGUAAAGCCCUAGGAUCCAAUGCUAUUUGGACUAUACGCUUAGCCAUGCUUGUAGUUGGGGGUGGACCAAAUAUUUUGAAAAUUAUAAACUUGUUCCCUUGGAACAAUGAUUUAGAAAAUAUUUUGAAAAAGAAAAACUAUAUUAUUAUUUUUUUUACUUCUACUCCCUGGACGAAAUGGUAUGACGGGAGCGUCUACAAGUGAUUGCGCCCAUCGGGGUCUUGCAGUGAAUGCGCUCGACUGGGGUCACACAGGAUUUUGGUGGGGACCGUCGUCCAGGGGAAUGAGAUCUUCCAAGUACGGUUUGAUGUAGCUUCCAGUACAGCCACAUGCUACUGUGGGCUCUGGCUUAGCUUAGUACUAACGGGAAACCCUUACCUCAGGACCGCCAUCGGAGAGGGGCUUUCAUUGCCUAAGUUGUGGGCGGCUUGGUCAGGUAUAGGGGGCUGUUACGGAAAGGCUUCGUCACAAUCUCCUCCUAGUCGUACACCCAAGUGUGUAGCGGUAAACGGGUUGGUUGUGUCAUGUGGGGAACGUGUACGACCUCUGCAGAGGGUUUAACCUAAUCGAUUAGCCGUGCCCCCGGUUACGGGCAAUUUUGAGCAACUGAAGACUUGGACUGAAGAAGAAUCUCCCCUCUCUUUUCUCAAAGCUAUUUUAUAAAGGGUUAGGUGGAAGUUAAACACAGUGGGGUGUUUUACUUCAACCUGAAGGAGAAUUUUUUUUUGUGAAUCUUGGUGCGGAUAUCCAAGUAUUCACUUAAACUCUAUGUUUUAAAAAAAUGUUUAUCAAAACUCGUUUUAUUUAUUUUGUUUAUAUUCUAGGAAAAAAAUUGGCUUUUCGCAAAUAAACCCUAGACACCAACCCAGCAUGAAUAUUUGUUAUCACUCUUGUUGCAACUUGCGAGUACAUUCAAAGUACUUACCUGUACGUGUCAUGUGCAGAUGAUGAGUGACGAGUUAGGGCUACGGAGCUACACUCAACUAGCCUUGUGGCGAUUGAUGGGCUCGGGAUUAUUAUUAUGUUAUUUGCUUCCGCUAUGUAACUCAGCCUUCAGCUAAGAGAGUUGUAAUAAAUUGAACUUUGGAUCUUCGAUGUAAUAAAAGGAUGUUUGUGCUCGAUAUUCAUAUUUGUACUGGGUAUGCUAGCU
This 11350-nucleotide long non-coding RNA is filed under the name Triticum aestivum (bread wheat). Its description in RNAcentral is "long non-coding RNA (TAES_LNC009832)". Lineage: Eukaryota; Viridiplantae; Streptophyta; Magnoliopsida; Poales; Poaceae. The record is from RNAcentral.